UACAGAGAGUGCAAGCGUUAAUCGGAAUUACUGGGCGUAAAGCGCGCGUAGGUGGAUGUUUAAGUCGGAUGUGAAAGCCCUGGGCUCAACCUAGGAACUGCAUUCGAAACUGGACAUCUAGAGUAUAGUAGAGGGAAGUGGAAUUUCAGGUGUAGCGGUGAAAUGCGUAGAUAUCUGAAAGAACACCAGUGGCGAAGGCGGCUUCCUGGACUAAUACUGACACUGAGGUGCGAAAGCGUGGGGAGCAAACAGG
This 253-nucleotide ribosomal RNA is filed under the name uncultured bacterium. RNAcentral describes it as "partial 16S ribosomal RNA". It matches the Rfam family "Bacterial small subunit ribosomal RNA", at positions 524 to 776 of the family's 1533-position model. The record is from RNAcentral.